CGCCGAAGAGAGAGUCGAGAAAGGGAAACAGAGAGCAAGAGAAAAUGAAGACCAUACUCUCAUCAGAGACCAUGGAUAUCCCCGAUGGGGUCAAUAUCAAAGUGAAGGCUAAAAUGAUCGAGGUUGAAGGUCCCAGGGGUAAGCUCACUCGUAACUUCAAGCACCUCAACCUCGAUUUCCACCUCACCAAGGACGAGGAGACCGGCAAGCGUAAGCUCAGGAUCGAGGCCUGGUUCGGUACCAGGAAGACCAGCGC
This 256-nucleotide long non-coding RNA is filed under the name Gossypium barbadense (sea-island cotton). RNAcentral's name for it is "long non-coding RNA (GBAR_LNC022066)". Lineage: Eukaryota; Viridiplantae; Streptophyta; Magnoliopsida; Malvales; Malvaceae. The record is from RNAcentral.